GGUAUGAGAUGGGCCCGCAUCUGAUUAGCUAGUUGGUGAGAUAACAGCCCACCAAGGCGACGAUCAGUAGCCGACCUGAGAGGGUGACCGGCCACAUUGGGACUGAGACACGGCCCAAACUCCUACGGGAGGCAGCAGUGGGGAAUAUUGCACAAUGGGGGGAACCCUGAUGCAGCAACGCCGCGUGAAGGAAGACGGUUUUCGGAUUGUAAACUUCUAUCAAUAGGGAAGAAAGAGAUGACGGUACCUAAAUAAGAAGCCCCGGCUAACUAC
RNAcentral lists this ribosomal RNA (273 nucleotides) under uncultured bacterium. Its description in RNAcentral is "partial 16S ribosomal RNA". It matches the Rfam family "Bacterial small subunit ribosomal RNA", at positions 217 to 504 of the family's 1533-position model. The record is from RNAcentral.